This 594-nucleotide ribosomal RNA is filed under the name uncultured bacterium. Its description in RNAcentral is "bacterial SSU rRNA". It matches the Rfam family "Bacterial small subunit ribosomal RNA", at positions 338 to 943 of the family's 1533-position model. The record is from RNAcentral.
CCUACGGGAGGCAGCAGUGGGGAAUAUUGGGCAAUGGAGGAAACUCUGACCCAGCGACGCCGCGUGCGGGAUGAAGGCCUUCGGGUUGUAAACCGCUUUCAGUAGGGAAGAAGCGAAAGUGACGGUACCUACAAAAGAAGCACCGGCUAACUAUGUGCCAGCAGCCGCGGUAAUACAUAGGGUGCAAGCGUUGUCCGGAAUUAUUGGGCGUAAAGAGCUCGUAGGUCGUUUGUUACGUCGGAUGUGAAAACCUGAGGCUCAACCUCAGGCCUGCAUUCGAUACGGGCAAACUAGAGUUUGGUAGGGGAGACUGGAAUUCCUGGUGUAGCGGUGGAAUGCGCAGAUAUCAGGAGGAACACCAAUGGCGAAGGCAGGUCUCUGGGCCAAUACUGACACUGAGGAGCGAAAGUCUGGGGAGCGAACAGGAUUAGAUACCCUGGUAGUCCAGACCGUAAACGGUGGGCACUAGUUGUGGGAACCUUCCACGGUUUCUGCGACGCAGCUAACGCAUUAAGUGCCCCGCCUGGGGAGUACGAUCGCAAGAUUAAAACUCAAAUGAAUUGACGGCUGAGAGUGCGAGCGACACGAGGAGAG